This 468-nucleotide ribosomal RNA is filed under the name uncultured bacterium. Its description in RNAcentral is "partial 16S ribosomal RNA". It matches the Rfam family "Bacterial small subunit ribosomal RNA", at positions 28 to 507 of the family's 1533-position model. The record is from RNAcentral.
GACGAACACUGGCGGCGUGCUUAACACAUGCAAGUCGAACGGAAAGGCCCUGCUUUUGUGGGGUGCUCGAGUGGCGAACGGGUGAGUAACACGUGAGUAACCUGCCCUUGACUUUGGGAUAACUUCAGGAAACUGGGGCUAAUACCGGAUAGGAGCUCCUGCUGCAUGGUGGGGGUUGGAAAGUUUCGGCGGUUGGGGAUGGACUCGCGGCUUAUCAGCUUGUUGGUGGGGUAGUGGCUUACCAAGGCUUUGACGGGUAGCCGGCCUGAGAGGGUGACCAGCCACAUUGGGACUGAGAUACGGCCCAGACUCCUACGGGAGGCAGCAGUGGGGAAUAUUGCACAAUGGGCGGAAGCCUGAUGCAGCAACGCCGCGUGCGGGAUGACGGCCUUCGGGUUGUAAACCGCUUUCGCCUGUGACGAAGCGUGAGUGACGGUAAUGGGUAAAGAAGCACCGGCUAACUACGUG